RNAcentral lists this ribosomal RNA (38 nucleotides) under Oidiodendron maius. Its description in RNAcentral is "partial 28S ribosomal RNA". Lineage: Eukaryota; Fungi; Ascomycota; Leotiomycetes; Myxotrichaceae. The record is from RNAcentral. RNAcentral also lists the same sequence under 1 other name.
UUGACCUCGGAUCAGGUAGGGAUACCCGCUGAGCUUAA